GAUGAACGCUGGCGGCGUGCCUAAUACAUGCAAGUCGAGCGAGCAGACGAGGAGCUUGCUCCUCUGACGUUAGCGGCGGACGGGUGAGUAACACGUGGAUAACCUACCUAUAAGACUGGGAUAACUUCGGGAAACCGGAGCUAAUACCGGAUAAUAUAUUGAACCGCAUGGUUCAAUAGUGAAAGACGGUUUUGCUGUCACUUAUAGAUGGAUCCGCGCCGCAUUAGCUAGUUGGUAAGGUAACGACUUACCAAGGCAACGAUGCGUAGCCGACCUGAGAGGGUGAUCGGCCACACUGGAACUGAGACACGGUCCAGACUCCUACGGGAGGCAGCAGUAGGGAAUCUUCCGCAAUGGGCGAAAGCUUGACGGAGCAACGCCGCGUGAGUGAUGAAGGUCUUCGGAUCGUAAAACUCUGUUAUUAAGGAAGAACAAAUGUGUAAGUAACUAUGCACGUCUUGACGGUACCUAAUCAGAAAGCCACGGCUAACUACGUG
Molecule: ribosomal RNA, 497 nt
Filed under: uncultured bacterium
Lineage: Bacteria
Description: partial 16S ribosomal RNA
Rfam family: Bacterial small subunit ribosomal RNA
Source: RNAcentral